RNAcentral lists this ribosomal RNA (305 nucleotides) under uncultured bacterium. Its description in RNAcentral is "bacterial SSU rRNA". It matches the Rfam family "Bacterial small subunit ribosomal RNA", at positions 333 to 635 of the family's 1533-position model. The record is from RNAcentral.
CAUGACCUACGGGGCGCAGCAGUGAGGAAUAUUGGUCAAUGGGCGGAAGCCUGAACCAGCCAAGUCGCGUGAGGGAAUAAGGCCCUACGGGUCGUAAACCUCUUUUGCCGGGGAGCAAGGGCGGGGACGUGUCCCGGCCCGGAGAGUACCCGGAGAAAAAGCAUCGGCUAACUCCGUGCCAGCAGCCGCGGUAAUACGGAGGAUGCGAGCGUUAUCCGGAUUUAUUGGGUUUAAAGGGUGCGUAGGCGGGCUUUUAAGUCAGCGGUAAAAAUUCGGGGCCCAACCCCGUCCGGUCGUUGAACAUG